GAUGAACGCUGGCGGCGUGCUUAACACAUGCAAGUCGAACGAAACACCUUAUUUGAUUUUCUUCGGAACUGAAGAUUUGGUGAUUGAGUGGCGGACGGGUGAGUAACGCGUGGGUAACCUGCCCUGUACAGGGGGAUAACAGUCAGAAAUGACUGCUAAUACCGCAUAAGACCACAGCACCGCAUGGUGCAGGGGUAAAAACUCCGGUGGUACAGGAUGGACCCGCGUCUGAUUAGCUGGUUGGUGAGGUAACGGCUCACCAAGGCGACGAUCAGUAGCCGGCUUGAGAGAGUGAACGGCCACAUUGGGACUGAGACACGGCCCAAACUCCUACGGGAGGCAGCAGUGGGGAAUAUUGCACAAUGGGGGAAACCCUGAUGCAGCGACGCCGCGUGAGUGAAGAAGUAUCUCGGUAUGUAAAGCUCUAUCAGCAGGGAAGAAAAUGACGGUACCUGACUAAGAAGCCCCGGCUAACUACGUGCCAGCAGCCGCGGUAAUACGUAGGGGGCAAGCGUUAUCCGGAAUUACUGGGUGUAAAGGGUGCGUAGGUGGUAUGGCAAGUCAGAAGUGAAAACCCAGGGCUUAACUCUGGGACUGCUUUUGAAACUGUCAGACUAGAGUGCAGGAGAGGUAAGCGGAAUUCCUAGUGUAGCGGUGAAAUGCGUAGAUAUUAGGAGGAACAUCAGUGGCGAAGGCGGCUUACCGGACUGAAACUGACACUGAGGCACGAAAGCGUGGGGAGCAAACAGG
Molecule: ribosomal RNA, 750 nt
Filed under: uncultured Lachnospiraceae bacterium
Lineage: Bacteria; Bacillati; Bacillota; Clostridia; Lachnospirales; Lachnospiraceae
Description: bacterial SSU rRNA
Rfam family: Bacterial small subunit ribosomal RNA
Source: RNAcentral